AGUGAACGCUGGCGGUAGGCCUAACACAUGCAAGUCGAACGGCAGCACAGUAAGAGCUUGCUCUUACGGGUGGCGAGUGGCGGACGGGUGAGGAAUACAUCGGAAUCUACUUUUUCGUGGGGGAUAACGUAGGGAAACUUACGCUAAUACCGCAUACGACGUACGGGUGAAAGCAGGGGAUCUUCGGACCUUGCGCGAUUGAAUGCGCCGAUGUCGGAUUAGCUAGUUGGCGGGGUAAUGGCCCACCAAGGCGACGAUCCGUAGCUGGUCUGAGAGGAUGAUCAGCCACACUGGAACUGAGACACGGUCCAGACUCCUACGGGAGGCAGCAGUGGGGAAUAUUGGACAAUGGGCGCAAGCCUGAUCCAGCCAUACCGCGUGGGUGAAGAAGGCCUUCGGGUUGUAAAGCCCUUUUGUUGGGAAAGAAAAGCAGCAGGUUAAUACCCCGCUGUUCUGACGGUACCCAAAGAAUAAGCACCGGCUAACUUCGUG
RNAcentral lists this ribosomal RNA (492 nucleotides) under uncultured bacterium. Its description in RNAcentral is "partial 16S ribosomal RNA". It matches the Rfam family "Bacterial small subunit ribosomal RNA", at positions 29 to 507 of the family's 1533-position model. The record is from RNAcentral.